AAGUAUUUUGACAGAAUGUAGGUUUUGGAAAUGCAGCACCAUGUGGAUGAGGCAGGAUAUGAGAAGCUGGAAAGAAACGCGUGGAGAAGAAAGUUUUUAGGGUCAAAGACAGUGAUGAUCCCUCAAGGCCUGCAAACACUGGAAGCAGAGCUGGGGAGAGACCCAGAAACGUAAGCCCACGCUGCAUGCUGCAGAGCAGUGUGGCUGACGGGCGCUCUGGGGACGUGGUGGUGGUGGCAGAAGCUGCCCCAGCUGCUGGCUUGGCCCGAGAGGUGAGUUUGUAUCCUCUGCUUGCUGCCAUAACCUGGCUCGUGGGUUCCUGAGAAGGGCCACACAUUGCACUGCCUCUUGGCUGGAGACAUCUGUGGGGUUGCAGCUCAGCACGCAGCUUAGAGACUGAGUGCAGGGAAAGGCAGAGAAGGGAGAUCAAUAAAUCUCAAUAAGGGGCUAAGUGAGACAGUGGCUUAAGGGGAAGAUCCAGAGAGCUCGUAGUUAUC
Molecule: long non-coding RNA, 497 nt
Filed under: Cairina moschata (Muscovy duck)
Lineage: Eukaryota; Metazoa; Chordata; Aves; Anseriformes; Anatidae
Description: domestica (muscovy Duck (domestic type)) lncRNA (ENSCMMG00000005496.1)
Source: RNAcentral